CAUCCUGGCACCCUGUUCAUGAACCUGCAGGUGAUGCUGUGGGGAGCUCUGCCUGGUGCGAAAACUGCUGACGUGGUGGGCUAAGGCGGUCAAACCCCUCUGUUGCAGGAUGUCCCAGUGGACCUCAGGUCCUUCCUGUUUGCUGAGCUUGUGUUUCAGCUGCCUUUCUUUCCCACUGCAAACCCUGCCUUCUUCCAAAAGCUGCCGGUAGAUCCAAAGCCCUGCAGACUUCUACUCAGGUUGCGACAUGGCAACGUGAAUGCCAGUACUCUCCACAUUUCUAUUUGAGGAUUUCGCAAAAGCUAGUGGCUUCCAAGGACAAAGGCCUGAGACCGUGCACGAACCAUUCACCCUUGCAUCUGGCUGUGCACCUUACUCACACGUCCCUUUCAUAUGUCUGCGUUGGCUGUUGAAGAGCUCCUACUGCAAGUAUGCAAGUGUGGGGAGAAAA
RNAcentral lists this long non-coding RNA (451 nucleotides) under Homo sapiens (human). RNAcentral's name for it is "non-protein coding lnc-RRP1-1:1". Lineage: Eukaryota; Metazoa; Chordata; Mammalia; Primates; Hominidae. The record is from RNAcentral.